Long non-coding RNA from Betta splendens (Siamese fighting fish), 1428 nucleotides. RefSeq lists it as uncharacterized. NCBI's taxonomy places the organism in Eukaryota, Metazoa, Chordata, Actinopteri, Anabantiformes, Osphronemidae. The record is from RefSeq and is a predicted model, not a curated record. The transcript has 3 exons.
GUUUAGCUCAUCGACAUAUUUCUGGAUCUCACAGGAGGAGAGGACGUAGUCCCACAUGUGGACAUCGGACAUCAUGCCAACGAACGACUGGUUGAUGUCAAAGCCUCCGCCGUGGGAAUCCUGCUCCUGUACAGGGAUGGCAGGACAUGCUGCCAUCAUCACCAGGAGAAACACCAGCAACAUCUGACACAGAAAAAAAACAUCCACAAUUCAACAGAAGGGGUUGACACAUUAAAUGAUUCACAUGGUUGUCAUUGGCAGCGUCUGAUGCCCCUUCCUGACGCAGCCCCUCAGGACCAGCACAGAGGUCACUGACUUGCAACUCCUGCAGCUAGAUUCAAACCCGCGCCAAGCAUUGUGCCAAACUGGUGGCCACUACUGCCUCUACUACUGACUCUACUGUCAAAUUUAUGAAGAAAAAAAACAAUAACUACAUUUCUAUUAGUUAUAUAUUAGCACUUGAUAUAUCAUACACCUUACUAAAAUCAAUUAAAAAUAUAUUAGGUCAAUAUGUCUUUAGAACCAAAACUAUGUUUGUAAACCAGAGUUCCCAGGUACGUUAUGAUUAAUCUGUAAAUAGUAAAAUGUUCUAAAAUAGUUUAAUUUCUGAGAUACUGAUUUAUUCCAUGAAUGUGUAAAUGUCUGAUAUACUGUAUAUUAAAUAUAUUUUGUAAUGAAUACACAUUCAAUCAUACUGGCUCCAGUCCUGGAUCAUCAACCAUACAUGACGGUAGGUUUGGCAACUGGUUCAGGCGUCUUGAGGUAAGAUUUAUCGAUAUUUUAAUUUAAUUAAUUAAUAAAAGUAAUAAACACAUGCAAUAUCUUGACAGCAACAAUUGCUGUCACACCAUGCCUCUGUAGGCAUUCACCGUUCCCACAUUGGCAUUUAAUUACAGACAAAUACGGCAAAAUAUAAACUGCAGCUGAAGACCCCAUUAUGGAAAAAAUAUUUUGACACAGCAGGGGCAUGAAAAUGAAAAAAACAAAAAAUGAGUUUAUAUCAGUGUAUCGAGCUAUGCUCCCAAACAGGCUGUUGUUGUGUUAUGAAUAUUCUGUUGUAUUAACUCAGGCUGUUUAUUGGCAACCAUUAGUAUUAGCGUUAGCAGACGCUAAUCAAGUUGAGCAUUAUAUAAAUCAAUAAAUUAAAUUAAAUGUGAAAUUGCCAGUUAGACGUACCUUGCCCCAGUCGAAGUGUAACCACUUUAACAGCCUCCCAUUUGACUUCAGAGUCAGAUUUUGGAUUAAACGUAUGGUUGAACUCCUCUAUGAGGACGAGAAAAGUUACAGACACCUUACUGAGACAUUAAGGUCCAAUUCUUUAGCAUUGUGGAGCAUGAAAAAAGCUUGUGCAUUGACCUUUAAUCGGAAUUCCAAUAAAUUCUGUGGAGAACACAGUUAUACUAAAUCCUCCUUGUUAAGUAAAGAAUA